This 84-nucleotide transfer RNA is filed under the name bacterium. RNAcentral describes it as "tRNA-Leu". It matches the Rfam family "tRNA". Rfam says of the family: Transfer RNA (tRNA) molecules are approximately 80 nucleotides in length. Their secondary structure includes four short double-helical elements and three loops (D, anti-codon, and T loops). The record is from RNAcentral.
GCGGAAGUGGCGGAAUGGAAUACGCGCUGGAUUCAGGUUCCAGUGGGGAAACCCACGAGGGUUCAAAUCCCUCCUUCCGCACCA